Molecule: long non-coding RNA, 3696 nt
Organism: Alligator mississippiensis (American alligator)
Lineage: Eukaryota; Metazoa; Chordata; Crocodylia; Alligatoridae
Exons: 2
Source: RefSeq, a predicted model, not a curated record
CCUAUGAAACACGUUGCCCCAAAUAUCAUGGAGGCCACCAGGGCCAGAAGUGGAUGGGAGAUGUGUGGAUAAAAAAAAAAUCUUGAUUUUAAACAGUGCAUAUUUAAAAAUGAAUGAGUUUUGGGAAUACAUAAACCUUCAAGCUUCUGGAAAUAAGCAUACCUCUACCAUUGAAAAUUAGAAAGCAACAUUCCCUUGGUUAUCACGUAACUAUUUCUUGCAGGCUUUCUUGCAGAUCUUCAAAGCUCUUGAUAAUGACUGCAGUUCCUGUGUUCCCAGAGUCCAUGACUGGUCAGGUACAAUCGCAGUACAGGCUGGGGGCUGACUGGCUGGGCAGCAGCUCUGCAGAAAAGGACCUGGGGGUUACAGUGGACAAUAAGCUGAAUAUGAGCCAACAGUGUGCUCUCGUUGCCAAGAAGGCUAAUGGCAUACUGGGUUGCAUUGGUGUGUGUGUUCACAGCAGUUCAAGGGAAGUGAUUGUUCCCCCUAUUCAGCACUGGUGAGUACUGGAGUACUGUGUUCAGUUUUUAGCCCCCUGCUACAGAAAGGAUGUGGACAAAUUGGAGAGAGUCCAGCAGAGGGCAACAAAAAUUGUGAGGGGGUGGAGCACAUGACUUAUGAGGAAAGGCUGAGAGAACUGGACAUAUUUAGUCUGCAGAAGAGAAGACUGACAGGGGAUUUGAUAGCAGCCUUCAACUAACUAGAGGGUGGUUCAAAGGUGGAUGGAGCUAGAGUGUUCUCAGUGGUGGCAGAUGACAGAACAAGGAGCAAUGGUCUCAAACUACAGCAAGGGAAGUUUAGGUUAGAUAUUAGGAAGAAUUGUCUGACUAAGAGGGUAGUAAAGCAUGUGAACAGGUUACCCAGAGACAUUGUGGAAUCUCCAUCUUUAGAGGUUUUCAAGACCUGGCUAGACAAAGCUUUGACUGGGAUGAUCUAGUUGGGGAUGGUCCUGCUUUGAGCAGGGGGUUGGACUAGAUGAUCUCCGGAGCUCCCUUCCAACCCUAAUUUUCUAUGAUUGUAUGAUUCUAAGUACAAAACAUAAUAGAGACUUCCUCCUAAUAUAGAAUGUAAGGUAACAAUAGAAAAUGGAUAUUCGGGGUCAACUAGUAAUUUGGUAUGUUUUUUACUGCCAUAGAAUAAUAUCAACAAUUGUGUUUUUAAGAUGAAAAUUAGUCCUUGAGUUGAAUACACUAGUCCUGAUCUGUGCUACAUUCUUCUAAUAAUGCCAGCAAAAAACCAUUAGAGAUACAAGGCCUGCCAAGCAGGUAUCUCUUAAGUUACUUUUAAUAUUCAUUCCAUUUGUUCAUGAUUUGUGCUCAGCAGUUAUUUUGUGAUCUGUUUUUCAUUAUAGAAGAGGGGAAUUUGAUUAUUCUUUCCAUUCUUUGCAUUUUUCAUACAUAUCAGUACGACUGAAAACUGAGGCACUUUUAGCUCUUCCUUGCAAACUGAACUAUGGGACACUUCUGUUCUUUUAUUAUGUCUCAAAUAAUGAUUAGUUUUACCAUAUGCUUUCAUUGUGUUAUCUGUUGUCCGGCCUAGAUUAUGGAUAGCUAUAGGGGGUAUGGCAUCCAUAAAUAGCAAACUGAAUGGAGUAGCCUUGCUUACAACCCUGUGCAGUAAUGAUCUCGAGCUGGGACUAACAGUGCCUUUAGUUUCCAUGUAGCAUUCAAGGAAUGGUAGAAGUAGGCCUUCUCCCCCCCACUCCCACAUGCACAUUGGCCAACAAAAUGAUAGCUCUUUUAAGGAAACUUUCAACUACUUUCAGCUCCGUUUGAAAAAAAGCAUUUUUAAGGACAUUUUUAGUUGCAACUCACCAGCAGUUUUGGUGAGUUGAAAACCUGUAUUCAUUGGGUAAAGAGUUGUACUGACAGGAUAGAUAAGAGCUAAAACACAUUCUGAGUUCUACCUUAAAAACUGAGGCUGUGUCCAAAAAUGCUCCAUGCACGUUUUACAGCACUGUAAUUUAGACCAUUUUUUAUAGCAUUAUAAAGUUACAUCACUCUUAAACAAGACAGAAGUGCAGUGUUUGGGAAGGCAGGGGGUGCUCUGAGCCUCUCUGAACUUUGUAGGCUAGGUGGCAGGGGAUGUCCCAUAGUCUCCUGGGGCUUCUCCACUGGUCAGAAAUUUGGCCAAUGUACAGAAGUUAUUUAAAGAGCUGUAGGUGGUUGAAGUGCUGUAAAAUACAGCGCUUCAAAUUCAAUACCUCAUUUAACAAGGGUUAAUUUAAAGUGCAGUACCUAUUUUUAAAGUGCUGUAAAGCUGGGCACUUCUGUUAAAUCGUGGCAAUAAAGCACUUGAAAUGGCGAAAAAAGCAACUUCUGUACCCAGCCUGAAAAACUUCAUACAUUAUUUAAGGUUUUCACAGGGAUUGCAUUUAGUAGCAACUUAAUUGACCACUAGAUGUCACCAUUGCUCCAUGAAAAUAGGCUUAGGAGUGCAUUUUGUGUGGCUGUAAAUAAGAUAGCCUUUGGAGAAAGAAGUUCAGAAAGGUCGUUUUUAAAAGUAAUUUUAAUAGUUUCUUUUCUCUUUGGUCCCUAAAACAUGUUCACACAGAAUCCCAGCAGACUUCACAGCUAUGCAAGUCAUUUUUCGCUGCACAAUUUUCUACUUGAAUUUUCAUCAAUUCAUUCUGCAGACUCUUUGAAACCAGUCUCCUUUUAUUUUAGGGCAAAUGCAGGAUCAGCAUCUUUUGACUUUACAGUGAUUUAUAUUAAAAACCAUUAGGUAACUGUACUCUACAUUUGUGAAAUGAGAAAUGAGAAAAUUAGGGUUCAGCUUGAUUGUUCUGAAGUGUAAAUUUUCUUCUCGGAUCAAUACCUCUGGAGAAGAACCUAGCCAGAGGUCUAGUGCUUUUUAGAUACAUGCUGCUUUCAGGUAGCUUGGAGAGGACAGCUUAAACCAGAAAGACCUUCAGACGCUAGUCUUUCCUGGACUUAAAAAAGAGGAAAAAAACAAACAAACCCUGGUUGAUUGCCCCAUUCACGAAAGACUUAUUGAUUUCUAAAAGUGAACUCAUCAGCCCACGCUUUCCUCCAUCCUCAGAGAAGCUUUAAUUUCCUCUGAUGUGGCCUCUGUAUUCGACUCAGUGUGAGGCAGGGGUUUCUUUGUGAGUGUGUUUGUGUGUGUGUGUGUGUUUUUACCAUUUCAAAUACUUGACAGCUGGGUGAAGUUUUCCUUCCGCCCAGAGAAGGACUUUUUACAUUUCAUAAUGGAUUGCCAGGGCUGCCAGGGCUAUUUUCUCUCCAGCUGUGAGAGUGGCUUUUUAAAAUGACUCACAAAAGCUGGUGGCCAGCUGCUUCACCUCAGCCUUCACAAGGGCCUUGCAUUCUAAACAGUGGUACUGCUGACUGCCUGGAGAAGGGCUCAUUGAUGUGGACCGUGCAGAUGUAUUCCACACACAACAGUUGAUCCUAAAGAGACCUCCAUUCAGGCAGGCUAUUGCAUAGAGUCAAAACAAUGAAACUGGAAGGAUCAGAGUUGCUACAGCCCAGCAAAUGUGAUUGAUGUGUGCAAAUGGCACAACUUCAUGCAUGAAGAUCAGAUUUUAUUUUUCCUCUUUUGCAACUGAGGAUAUAGAGAAGUGUGACUCUUGAAAUAUAUCAUCUCUAAGUACUGGAAAUAAUGGCUUCCUAAAAUCAAAUCAGUUGUAUUUAACUGUAUCAGCAGGUAAUUAAAUUCUGGUUUAGUUACCACAUA